AGCUUCCUCAAUUAGGAUGACUUCUCAAUAGAGUGAAUUGUCCCCCAGAGGCUGUAAAUUGCAUCUGGGAAGGCUCCUCCAUCACCAGCAGCAGCAGCCUCCUUACCUCACACUGUGAAGACUGCACAAGCCCCUUCAACCUCUACUGCUCAGCAAAGGAGCAGCUGGUUAGCACUUCCUUUCCUUCCAGGCCUCAUCCUGGGUCCUCUUCCGGAGUCCUCCUAGUCCCAUCCUGAACCUCUCUUCACCUGUCUUGCAGCGUUGGUCUGCACAAACACUACUCACAGCUAAGGGUUACAGCUUUACCAUUGUUUUCUGUUGGGGGGGGGGGCUUACUGUUGCCACAGCAACCAGAUAAUCAACGCCUCUAAGGCAAAGGCUGCACUGUAUAUCUUUUCUAUUCUCACUCGAGUGCAACUUUGCUGCUGUCACUAAUCUCCUCCAGAAAAACGAGCUAGAGUUUUGAUUUUUGUUUUUAAGAUUUAUUUAUUUAUUUCGUAUAUGUGAGUACACUGUAGCUGUCUUCAGACAUACCAGAAGAGGGCAUCAGAUACCAUUACAGAUGGUUGUGAGCCACUAUGUGGUUGCUGGGAAUUGAACUCAGGACCUCUGGAAGAGCAGUCAGUGCUCUUAACCGCUGAGCCAUCUCUCCAGCCCCCGAACUAGGUAGGGUCCAGGAAGCUAUGUUGCUAGCACACAGGAUUUGUAGGUGUCAUUCUUCUGGUCACAACAAUUUGAGAAUACGCAAAGUGCCCCAGAUCUACUUUGAAGUCUAGUCAACCCAGAACUUCACUCCCUAUGGGCACCCAGGCACACUGUCCAAAUACUUUAAUAAUGCUACCAGGAGCUGGUAGCAUUCUACAGGACCUGGCUUUGCUUUAUCUUCCUGAUUCCUCACCAUGACUCCUCCUGCAGCCUCUUGGCAACCACCCUCAAACCUCACUCCCCCGUUAUGUGGCCCAUUCAUCCUGCAGGUCUGGGCUGAGAGGCCAUUUUUUUUCCCUGAGCCUUUGUAGCACAGCACUUUCUCCGAGGAGUGCAUCUCCACGGCUCGUCACUCUGUCCAUGUGCCCAUCUCAUGUGGCCACUUCCCUGGGCACAGGUGAGCUGCAUGUGCUGCCUGCAUUCAGCUCUCAACUUGGUACAAAGGAAGCACGAUGACAUGGGGGGCUGACCUUGUAAAACAUUGCACACAUCUGACGAUAGGUAAGCACAUAGAGCAGAAACCAGAGCAUGGUGGGGGAAAAUGUGAGGCUGGUUGAGAUAGCAACAGCUGGGUGGCCUCUGCUUUCCCUACUCUCAACGGCCCUAGGCGCACAGAAGAUGCUCGCCCUUAUCUGGAAAUAUUCAAAAUAGCUUCAACAGGAAGCCCACCGAAGGCGGUGGGGUGGGGUGUGAAUGCCCUGGCAAGGGCAUGCUGGCAUUCGUGACUUCCUCUAGAAGACUCUGCACCAGACCAGUGGGGCAUGACAUAGAGGGCAGAGGGUGAUGUAACACAAGGGACUGAGGCAAACGUUGUUGGGGCAGGACUCAGGCUUCAGUUUCUCAUAGUUUGCUGGCACGCCAACCUCAACCAAACUUACUAAAGGCAAGGCAAGAGUGCAGAGCAUGCUGGGACUAAGCAGAAGAAUGGGCCAAGAAGCUGUUACACAACUGGAUAGAAUGUUUGGGUUAAGGAGACAGAGACGUGCCUUGCUGAAAUGAGCCAGCAAGGUUCUAGAACCCCAAAGGGAUACAAACAAUUGCAUGGUCAUUACUGAUGCUCUCUGAGCCUCUUUCCAGUCCUCCUUAGUAACAGAGCCUUCUUGAAAUGCUAGGCCAUGCUUACCUAGCUAACAGUCUAGUAAAUAUAUAGACCCUAGGUCAGGAGUGCAAAGAGCUGAAGCUGGCUAAAAUCCCGACUCAGGGCUCAGCUCCAUCUCCUGCUUGGCCAUGGAUUUCCAGGGUCAGCUUAUUCUAAGAUCAUUCCAAGAACUUGCUAGGAGGGCUCCAGGCACAUCUACUCAAGCUGGGCACCUGCUGAAAGUGUUUGGAGGUGAUUCUCUGAAGCAGUCACAGUCUUGAACAAGCCUUGUGUACUUGGGAUCUCUAUUCCAGUUACAGCGCUUUUCCGGACAGUGAUAUUGGUGUUGAGAUGAAAUCCUAAAGUAGCUUGAGCUGAGCUCAAUAAUUAGCAGACACCCCAGCAAAGCGAAAGGCUCCCAAGUAUUACCACCCUAGUCUGUAAAAUUCGUUCCCUCUCUUCAGCCCCCAACUCUACAGUGUUCUUUAUUUGGCUUUUAAAAACCAACCAACCAACCAACCAACCAACCAACCAACCAACCAACAUUUAGAAUCAAAAGGGUUUUACUGUAGCCAGAGCAAAUCUGGCUAUAUUUGAUAGCAGCGGGAAGAAACCAGACCCAGCUUCUGCUGGUCCAGAUUAGGAGGAUGCUUUGUUCAUAGGAUAUCCUCUUCCUCUUUCAGCAGUACAGAAAGAACUGUCAGCUAGAUACAUCAAACCUGUCCCCAGGGAUCCCAAGAGAAGAGCUCAAGCCUCUCACUUCCUAUAUCUCAACACCACAUAAAAGUCACUGGUAUGGCAGCUACUGGAGAUACCGUGUCUAGUGAGAAAGGACCCUUUUGACCAGGAAAUGGUUUUGUUGUGUUGUGUUCAGGUAGUAGAUGAUGAUGAUGAUGAUGAUGAUGAUGAUGAUGAUGAUGAUGAUGACAAUGAGGACGACGAUGAUGGUAGUGGUGGUGAUGGUGGUGGUGGUGUGGUGGUGAUGAUGAUGGUAGUGGAGGUAGUGGUGGUAGUGGUGCUAUGGUGGUGGUGGUGUGGUGGUGAUAAUGAUGGUGGUGGCGGUGUGGUGGUGAUGAUUAUGAUGAUGACUAUUAGAGAGAGAUAAUAAUCACCACUCGUUCAGCAUUUACUCUGUUUUACAGCCUUUACGCUUAAUUCAUGUUUGACCCUAAUGACAGCCACCAGGCAGGUUUUACUCCCACAGAACACAUGCAAGUGACGCUUAGGAAAGCUAAAGUCCCCAUAAAACACACGAGUGAAGGAAGCCAUGGAGGUAUAUGGCAACCAUACUCCGUGACCACACUCUGUCCAGCAUGGUGCCUGCCACUUGAAAAUGUUUCUGAUCGAAGCAAAUGCUAUAAAACACGCCCUUGCUGAGUGUGCCGCUCUCCUGGGAGGAGGGGCCAAGCUACCAGCACUAGGGAUGGAACCUAGUACCGUGUGUAGUGGGCAAACGCCCAGCCCUGGAUCCACAACGGCCAUGGACGUCAUUAUUGGUGAGGAAAACUUAGCAGGUGGGGGCCUGGCGAGAUGUCUCUGGGGGAUAUCUUUGAAGGGUACACUUGGGACCUUUCCUCGUUCUCUCUCUCUCUCUCUCUCCCUCCCAACCUCUCUCUCUCUCUCUCUCUCUCUCUCUCUCUCUCUCUCUCUCUCUCUCUCUCUCUCUCUCUCUCUCUCUCUCCCUGUCUCUCUGCUUCCUGGCAAGCUCUGACAGGCACUCUUACCAGCAUGGUGUUUUCCCUCACCACAGGGUCACAGCAAUGAAACAAGCUGACCAUGUACCGAAACAUCUGGAAUCGUGAGCCAAAAUAAACCAAAAUAACCCUUUCCCCCCUUUCCCUUUCUAAGCACUUCUUUCUGAUAUUCCUCAUGGUGGCUAAUAGAAACCAGAGGGCAGGAGGGGCAGUCUUGUGUUUUCCUAGGAGUCCGCUUCUUUUUUUUUUUCCCCUUCAUUUUUUUAUUGGAUAUUUUCUUUAUCUACAUUUCAAAUGUUAUCCCCCUUCCCCAUUUCCCUUCCAGAAAUCCCCUAUCCCAUCCCCCUCUCCCUGCCUCCAUGAGGGUGCUUCCCCCACCCACCCAUCCACUCCCUCCCGCCUCCGGCCCAGGCAUUCCCCUACACUGGGGCAUCGAGCCUUCACAGGACCAAGGGCCUCUCCUCCCACUGAUGCCCGACAAGGCAUGGCUGGAGCUAUGGGUCCCUCCAUGGCUCUUUGGUUGGUAGUUUAGUCCCUGGGAGCUCUGGGGUGUCUGGUUGGUUGGUAUUGUUGUUCUUCCUAUGGGGUUGCAACCCCCAUCUGCUUCGUCAGUCCUUUCUCUAAUUCCUUUACCCGCCCCCCUUCUCAGUUCAAUGGUUUAGGAGCCCAUUUCUUAAAGUGCUCACAUCCACACUCCGUAUACAUGGGCUCUUGACAGCCAUAGUCAAGUUAGACCCACGCUGCAGACCCUCCUUUCUAGUCAUUCCUGUAUCCAACAUGGCAAGGCCAGAGUUGACAGCACAUUCCUGCUGCAGAGUGGUCGGUUCCUGACACUCCCAGAGCCGUCAUGCCAAGUAGCCUGCCAGGACGUUGUGCCUCAGGAGCCUGUGUGCCAUGGUAUCACCAGAAAUCCACCUGGCUAGAGUUUUCCAUGGAUGUCAUAGUGACUCCAAGAACCAUGUAUUCAUCCAAGCGCCAAAACAUUAACUAAGAGAGCAAAACCACUGCAGCCCAGGCAGGACCUCUGACUGAGCACACUCUCUCGUGUUGUUCAAAUACAGCUUUAACCCGUGGAGCUAUCUAAAAGACAGUUCACUGUGACUGACAGACAUAUGCAGGGUCCCCAGCAUUUAUGUCCCGCUCACUGGCUUCUCUCAUUCCACCACAAGCUUCACUUGCAACUCUUGUAGCUUCUUUUCUAGGCAGUAACCGCCCGUAGUCAAAGCUCACUUCCACAGUCUGAGCCUUUCCCAAGCUGAUGGAGUGGUCCUGUCCCCACAGCCAGCUCUCCUUCCCCAUUGGGUUCCAGCUUCCCCGUCUACAGUGCUCUGAGAGCAACAUAAGGUGCUUACUUUGGCUACAUUACUGGUGCCAAACCCUGUCCUCACCCACCAUGCAUCUGCCUCCCACAAUAAGCCAUGUUCUUCUGGGAGACUGAGUAUGCCUUGCUCAUCCCAUUCCUAGCAAGGAGCCAGGCUGUGCUCCCUGCUCACUGUGGGUGAAAGAGAGGAGAGAGCCACAUGGUGAAGGUAAAAGGAGCACAGAGAAAUCCCAAGGAGUGCUGUCCUUCCUCUGCUUUGAAUGUAACUGGUGAGGACCCUCACUGGUCCUAAGCCACUCACUCCAUUAAGUCUGGCCCUGUGGGAUGCCAUGACAUGUUCCCAAAGAGAAAGCUGACUUGUGACUCCAGGAUAACACAAACUAGCAACUAUCAUCUUGGACAAAAGAGUAUCAAGAUUCAAGGCCAAUCUGACUCAUGGGUUCUUUCUGGGGCUAGCACGGAUUUCCAACCAGGUUCAAACAAUACAGACGGCUGUGCCAUCGCACACCCGGAAUCCCAGAGGUGGCAAUUGGAGCAGGGGAUUGAAAGUUUGAGGCCAGCUUAGGCUAAAGAGCGAGGCUCUUUCUCAAAAAGAAAUAAAGAAAUAAAACAAUCAAACCCUGAAAAACAAAACAACAAAACAAAAAAACAACAACAACAAAACAAAACAAAACAACCAAAAAAAAAAAAACUCCUCUGGGCUCAUUUGUGUUUGUGACCACAGUCCCUCUGCCUAAUAUGCUAACCUCACAACCCACCAUAAACACAAAUAGAGUUCCUGUUUUGCGUUAUUUUUAACUGACAAUUAAGUGGGGUUUUUUUUCUUUCUAUUUCUUCCCCUUGAAGAAAACUGCCUGUUAUCCAGUUUUUCAAUUCCUACAUCGGCUCCAGUUUCACUGGUCCAUUUUUAUAAGUUUUCAUGCCCCAAGGGUUAAGUCACAUGCUUCAAAAUGAGUUUUGAAUGAAACUCAUUAUUCAAAACGGAUAAAGAGAAAUGGGGUCAAGUUACAGUAAAACAUAUGGAAUGAAUUCUAGAGUUCUGAAGUGUAAAAGGGUGGCAACAGUUACCAGUGACUAAUUGUGGAUGUCAAAACGGGUAGGGCAGUGACUUUUGACUGUUCACCGAGAUGGCUCUGCAGGUGAUGGCACUUGCUGCCAACGCUGAUGAGUUGAGUUGUAUGCAGGGACCCCAUGUGAUGGAAGGAGAGAACACAGGCCUGUAGAUUAACCUUUAAACUUUACAUGUAUGCAUGUGCACGGGUGUGUGCACACAAUAAAAAUGUAUUAAUUUUGUUAAAAGUCACACUGAACUGGGACAGUAGCACAUGCCUGUAAUCACAACACUUUCAAGGUGGAGGCAGAAUGAUGGUGAGUUGAGGGCAGCCUGGGCUACAUAGCAAGGUUCUGUCUCAAAAGCAACCGACAAAAGUAAUCACACUGUGCAUUUUAAAUGUGCACAGUUAUUUUCUUAGCAACUAAAAUCUUUUUAGUUUUGAAAAGAGACCGCUGCCCUGCCUCAAUCUGGCUACCAAAAUAAUAAUAACGUAUUUAUGCCCCUUUGUUUAGAACAUUAAGGUCAUUAAUUCUAUCAGAGUGGCAACUCAUGUAGUCUCAGUAGAGAAGGAGUUUUUGUGUCAUGCAAUGCUAGAGCUGAGACCAUGAAACACCCAACCCGAUGCUGUGUACACAACUGCAGCAAUCCAUCUCCCGUUUCACAGCGCGAGGCAACCGCCAGUUGUGUAGGUUUGCAUGUAUUGGGAAGUCAUGGUUUCCAGGCACCGAUGCACUCUGAGGCAUCUUUGUCCUGGUCCCCAUGGCCUCUUUCUCUACACAAUAUUUCUUCGGGAAUUAGUGAAUGCCCACUUCAUUGCUGGUCUUUCCCAUUCUUGUGCCAUCAGGUGGACAAGCAAGUGCAAGGGCCAAAACAGAGGCACAUAUGAGAGGCUCCAGGAAAGAGGAACGACUAAGAAGGUGGGAAUCAUCAUGGUUUCCAGGCAGAUGGACAAGCCAAGCCAGUUUCUAGAACCUUCCACUUGCCUUCAAGCUGGUUUCUACAUGUCAGUGCCUCUUCCUCUGUUGAAAUAAACUGAGGAUGGUGCCCUUGGCAAUAAGGCUACAGAUCCUAGUUUUGAAGAGUUGAUGAGUAACUUGGGGGUACAAUGCUUGCUUUGCAGGCAACUGCCUAGAGAUCAAUCCUUAGUGCUGAGUUUAUGUUUUAAAUCUGAAACAAGGCUUUGAACAUGAAGUAGAUCCGUAUUACAAUGGUUCUCAAACUUCCUAAUGCUGGGACCAUUCAAUACCAUUUCUCAUGUUGCGGUGACCCUCAACCAUCAAAUUAUCUUCAUUGUUACUUCAUAACUGUGAUUUUGCUAUUGUUGGGAAUCAUAAUGUAAACAUCUGUGUUUUCCAAUGUUCUUAGGUGACCCUCACAGGGUUCUUAGGUAACGGCUCACAGGUCAAAAGCAGCAGCUUUGUGAGGACGUUAUGGGAGCAAUGGUGGUGAAGGAAUGAGGCUGGACAAGAGUCAGGAGCUGGGAAAUGAGAGUCUGACUUCUCUUCAGUUCCUCCCGAAGACAGAGUAAAGAGAUAACAUUAAUAUCAUAUUGCAUCCGGUGACAUUAUCAAAUACUCUAGGAGCUUCCUAAGGACAUUUCUAUGCUGUACCUUCCAGUUGAUUUAUCACAGAUUAGUCUCCUAGUUACUGAAAGAGGUUGAGAAACACUUGAAUUGAGAUUUGCUCCUUUCCUCAGCUUACUGAUUUCAAAGUUAGACUGUGACUUCAAAUUUAAUACCAAUGGCAAGAGACAUCUCAAGGGCAAUUACUACAUCAUGCAAUGACUUAGGAGUGGCGGUGCAUAUGUGUGAUCCUAGCAUGAGGUAGGUAGAGGCAAGAGUAUCAAGAGUUCAAGGCCACACUCAGAAGAAAGAAAGGUGUACAUUGACAAUAAAGAUGAGUGGAAAGAAGAAAGGAGUUAAAGAAAUCAUUAACUUAUCAGCAAGGCAAGGCAAGGCAAUGGAGGCAAAACACCCGCCAUGACAGGUCAGACAUGAAAUCAUCACAGGAUGAAUGCUGACCACCAGUGCCAAUACAAUACAGGUGAACGUGCUGAUAGAUGGUCUGUAGUCAAGAAACCCUGGGCUAAGUCCUAGCAAUUCCACCCGCAAAUCGAAGUCAACUCACGCAUUUGUAAAACACACUAAGAAGGCCAGUCAAUGCAUCAGAGUUGUUGGGCUCUCAUUGGGUAAGGGAGAUUGCUUCAUUAGCUAGAAGAAGCUAAAGCAGACGUUAAUUGUUGCUAUGAUUCCGUGAUCAUAACAGAUGGGCUUUUACAGCUUUGCUCAGAGAUAACUGUGUUUCUCUGAGUGCAAACUGUGUUUGCUUUUCAGAGGUGCUGAUGCCAAGUAGCAAAAAAAAAAAAAAAAAAAAAAAAAAAUGCUGUGCUUCACUGGGCCAGAAAGACGAAGGGAUUUUAUCUGAUCUUCAAAUUUUGUAUGUUAUUUUCUCCUCAGUUUUACAAGCUUGUGAUUUCACAUCUGGUUGUGUCCCAGGGUGUUCCCAACUAAUUUCUGCCUCUUUUGCUACAUUUUUUUUGUUUUGUUUUUUGUUUUUUUCUUUAUGUAUCUCCUGGGAUUUUGGUGAAGGUAAUAUGCUCAGAAAUGUCAAAUGUCUCCUAAGGCAUCACUUUCCCCUCUAAGCAAAGAAAAGCAUGAAACGGCGUUUAAGUACAAGGAGAAAAGCUGUGAGGAAAUUUGUUCCAGUCAAAAUUCCUUCACCGCUACCCGGUGACCAGGAGCUACAUGGGCUGGAGGGGUGUUGCUGAAGAGCGAGGAUUACACGGGUGCCCCAUAAGCCUUUUCAGAGCUUUCCUGAGACAGGAAGUGAUGAAAUCAGCUCUCACAUGAACUGGGAAGUGGCCAUGUGCAUCAUGGGUUUUCUGUCUCAACUGGACACCCGGGGAGGGCGGGAAAGAGAAAGUAGAGAAGUAGGUCAUGGGGAAGUCCCAACUCUUCCCCUCAUGCUUUUCCUUGUCCUUCUGAUUGUGAGCAGACGCAAUCUCUGCUGUUGACGGUAAUGGUACCCAUGGCGAACAUUUAAUUUUUUCCACUCUUGACCGUAUAUGACAAUGCUAACAGGACAGAGUGACCAUCAACGUAUUAUACACCUGACUCACUGAUUAAAUUAGGACUCAAAUACCGAGUGGAUUCAACCAAUUUCUACCCUAAGAAAUAAGCUGGGGAAAAGAUAUGGGACGCAGGGAUGAAUUAUCUAAGUAUUCAGCCACCAACUAUCUAUCUAGAUUAAUCUCAUUAAUACUCACUGUUCCUGUGCGAUUCUCCACAGAAAAUGGACAAAGUUAACUAGAGGCAAGUGAAAAAUUAAGAGAGGGCUUGAGAAGUAUGAAGACUUAGCCCAGGCUGGCCUCGAACUCAUGAUCCUCCUGCCUCUGCCUCCUUCAGCAAAUCCUACCGGCGUGCGCCACCACAACCGGCGUAUGAAGACUUAAAAAAACACACACAUUGGGCUGGAGAGAUGGCUCAGCAGUUAAGAGCACCCGACUGCUCUUCCAGAGGUCAUGAGUUCAAUUCCCAGCAACCACAUGGUGGCUCACAACCAUCUGUAAAGAGAUCCGAUGCCCUCUUCUGGUGUGUCUGAAGACAGCUACAGUGUACUUAUAUAAAUAAAUGAAUAAAUCUUUAAAAAAAAAAAACACACA
Non-coding RNA from Rattus norvegicus (Norway rat), 9513 nucleotides. The record is from RefSeq and is a predicted model, not a curated record. NCBI's taxonomy places the organism in Eukaryota, Metazoa, Chordata, Mammalia, Rodentia, Muridae.